RNAcentral lists this non-coding RNA (103 nucleotides) under Anaerobium acetethylicum. RNAcentral describes it as "c-di-GMP sequence". It matches the Rfam family "c-di-GMP-I riboswitch aptamer". From Rfam's summary of the family: GEMM was predicted in a large-scale screen for bacterial structured RNA regulatory elements. The record is from Rfam by way of RNAcentral. Lineage: Bacteria; Bacillati; Bacillota; Clostridia; Lachnospirales; Lachnospiraceae.
GUUUAAGGGAGGUAAACUUAUUGAAAGAUAAGGACACAAAACUGGAAGCCGUAAAGAGAGUAUUGGGGAACUAACUUAACUUUCAGGUGGUUCGGUUGCGAUC